GGCUGGAUGGUGUAGUUGGUUAUCACGUAUCGCUCACAUCGUCAGUCUGACUAAUCACCAGACAAUGACAUGUACCGAUAAGGUCCUGGGAUCGAACCCCAGUCUAGUCA
This is a non-coding RNA of Onygenales sp. PD_40, 110 nucleotides long. The record is from the annotation of a GenBank genome assembly. NCBI's taxonomy places the organism in Eukaryota, Fungi, Ascomycota, Eurotiomycetes, Onygenales.